This 96-nucleotide non-coding RNA is filed under the name Microbotryum lychnidis-dioicae p1A1 Lamole. Its description in RNAcentral is "Microbotryum violaceum p1A1 Lamole Eukaryotic small subunit ribosomal RNA". It matches the Rfam family "Eukaryotic small subunit ribosomal RNA", at positions 1 to 98 of the family's 1831-position model. Lineage: Eukaryota; Fungi; Basidiomycota; Microbotryomycetes; Microbotryales; Microbotryaceae. The record is from Rfam by way of RNAcentral.
UACCUGGUUGAUCCUGCCAGUAGUCAUAUGCUUGUCUCAAAGAUUAAGCCAUGCAUGUCUAAGUUUAAGCAAUAAACGGUGAAACUGCGAAUGGCU